RNAcentral lists this transfer RNA (71 nucleotides) under Anadara sp. SS-2018. Its description in RNAcentral is "tRNA-Lys". It matches the Rfam family "tRNA". From Rfam's summary of the family: Transfer RNA (tRNA) molecules are approximately 80 nucleotides in length. Their secondary structure includes four short double-helical elements and three loops (D, anti-codon, and T loops). Lineage: Eukaryota; Metazoa; Mollusca; Bivalvia; Arcoida; Arcidae. RNAcentral also lists the same sequence under 1 other name. The record is from RNAcentral.
UGAUUGGAUAGCUUAACUAAAGCGUCUGGCUUUUAACCGGAAUAUAGUAGAACAACCCUACUUCCAGUCAG